RNAcentral lists this transfer RNA (71 nucleotides) under Loxodonta africana (African savanna elephant). It matches the Rfam family "tRNA". Rfam says of the family: Transfer RNA (tRNA) molecules are approximately 80 nucleotides in length. Their secondary structure includes four short double-helical elements and three loops (D, anti-codon, and T loops). Lineage: Eukaryota; Metazoa; Chordata; Mammalia; Proboscidea; Elephantidae. The record is from Rfam by way of RNAcentral.
ACGUUGGCAGUUCAGUGGUACAACUCUAGCUUUCGAUGCAGGAAGCCCAGGCUCGAUUCCUGGCCGACGCA